GCUGGGCAUGGUGGCUCAUGCCUGUAAUCCCAGCACUUUGGGAGGCUGAGGCAGGAGGAUCACUUGAACUCAGGAGUUUGAGAGCAGCCUGGGCAAUAUAGUGAGACCCUGUCUCUG
RNAcentral lists this non-coding RNA (117 nucleotides) under Gorilla gorilla gorilla (western lowland gorilla). The record is from Rfam by way of RNAcentral. Lineage: Eukaryota; Metazoa; Chordata; Mammalia; Primates; Hominidae.